UACGUAGGUGGCAAGCGUUUGUCCGGAUUUAUUGGGUUUAAAGGGUGCGUAGGCGGUCUUAUAAGUCAGUGCUGAAAUAUCCCGGCUUAACCGGGAGGGUGGCAUUGAUACUGUAGGACUUGAGUAGAGUUGAGGUUGGCGGAAUUGACGGUGUAGCGGUGAAAUGCGUAGAUAUCGGAAGGAACACCUGUGGCGAAAGCGGCUCACUGGACCACAACUGACGCUGAGGCACGAAAGCUAGGGGGAGCAAACAGG
RNAcentral lists this ribosomal RNA (255 nucleotides) under uncultured bacterium. RNAcentral's name for it is "partial 16S ribosomal RNA". It matches the Rfam family "Bacterial small subunit ribosomal RNA", at positions 524 to 776 of the family's 1533-position model. The record is from RNAcentral.